This 339-nucleotide long non-coding RNA is filed under the name Cairina moschata (Muscovy duck). Its description in RNAcentral is "domestica (muscovy Duck (domestic type)) lncRNA (ENSCMMG00000001382.1)". The record is from RNAcentral. Lineage: Eukaryota; Metazoa; Chordata; Aves; Anseriformes; Anatidae.
CUAAUGGAGUUUAUCAAGUAGCUUUUCAGAUCCUACGCAGAGGUGAACAGAUAGCUCUUCUGUGUGCCUGCAUAAGAAAAUCCCUUUCUGCAAACGGGAUGUCAGGAACAGGAGGCAGCAAAGCAGCCACACAGUGCAGGAUGCACUUCUUGGCAAUUUCCAAGGUGCUGUGAGUGGAAUAUGCCAAGAAUCUUGUUUCUAAACAUCCACUAAAUGUCCUCUGCCUCUGUAAAAGUCUCUGAGGCCCCUUAUCCUGAGAGCUAGAAAACUUUUUUGUACACAGAAAUAUAUAAAAACUAUCUGUGUGCAAACUUGGGCCUUUUGAUUGAUCCGAGAAAG